GAACAGUGUCCGACAGCUCUCAGCUCAAGGGCAAAUGACACAGCUUUGUGAACUGAUCAACAAGAGUGGGGAACUCCUUGCGAAGAACUUAUCCCAUCUGGACACUGUGCUCGGGGCUCUGGAUGUACAAGAACACUCCUUGGGCGUCCUUGCUGUUUUGUUUGUGAAGUUUUCUAUGCCCAGUGUUCCUGACUUCGAAACGCUAUUCUCACAGGUUCAGCUCUUCAUCAGCACUUGUAAUGGGGAGCACAUUCGAUAUGCAACAGACACUUGUAAGCUAAAUAACAUUUUAUUCUCCAUUGAAAAUAUUUUGCCCUUGUGGUUAUAUUUAUAUUUUGAAUAUUUUGUUAUUGUAUCUAGUUGCUGGGCUUUGCCAUCAGCUAACAAAUGCACUUGUGGAAAGAAAACAGCCCCUGCGAGGAAUUGGCAUCCUUAAGCAAGCCAUAGACAAGAUGCAGAUGAAUACAAACCAGCUGACCUCAAUACAUGCUGAUCUCUGCCAGCUUUGUUUGCUAGCAAAAUGCUUUAAGCCUGCCCUUCCAUAUCUUGAC
This 551-nucleotide long non-coding RNA is filed under the name Homo sapiens (human). RNAcentral describes it as "non-protein coding lnc-FLCN-4:1". Lineage: Eukaryota; Metazoa; Chordata; Mammalia; Primates; Hominidae. The record is from RNAcentral.